AUCCUCUAUCACUGCUCCUUGGCUUGAUACACCUUUGUUGUUGUUGUUGUUGUUGUUGUCCUCUAUGGCUGUUUUCCUGACUCUAACUUCCCCAACACACUGGAUAUUACACUCCAGUCAAAACCACGGUACUGGAGCCACCUGAUCAUUCUCGACUUGCAUUUCUGUAUGGGCACAUCCUGGCUUCUCGCCCAUUGUUUUGAUGCUUGAGCCAAUAAGUGAUUCAAGGAGGGACUUGAUAACUCAACCCUAGACUCCUGAGUUCCGGGUUCAGUUUCUUGGAAAACAUUUCUUAUUGCACUC
RNAcentral lists this long non-coding RNA (303 nucleotides) under Linum usitatissimum (flax). RNAcentral's name for it is "long non-coding RNA (LUSI_LNC000946)". Lineage: Eukaryota; Viridiplantae; Streptophyta; Magnoliopsida; Malpighiales; Linaceae. The record is from RNAcentral.